UGCCCGAUAGUAUAAUGGUAGUACGACAGAUUCUGGCUCUGUAUGUAGGGGUUCGAGCCCUCUUCGGGCAA
This 71-nucleotide transfer RNA is filed under the name Niastella sp. HX-2-15. RNAcentral describes it as "tRNA-Gln". It matches the Rfam family "tRNA". Rfam says of the family: Transfer RNA (tRNA) molecules are approximately 80 nucleotides in length. The record is from RNAcentral. Lineage: Bacteria; Pseudomonadati; Bacteroidota; Chitinophagia; Chitinophagales; Chitinophagaceae.